UCCUUGGUGGGUGCAAGCACUGACUUAGGUCCCAGGGAUAUGCCAGUGGACAAGGCAAUGAGGAGCCACCUGUCAAGGGGCUUACAUUCUGGUGAGAGAGAUGGGAAAGUUCCAGAAGGAGAUUUCCUCUCUCUGACAUGAAGCUUAACGCAAAAAAAGAAAAAGAAAAAGAGAAUCAACUUAAAAUAUCACCAUAUAUCGUGAUCGACUCCUCGUACGUGAAAUGCAGCGCCUUACCGUGGAGGGCCUGUCUCGGGCGCACUCGGGGUGUUUCGGCCCUGCAGCAGAAUUACCCACCUCGCCACCCCUGGCGAGCUCCUUCCAUCUCUGAGACCCGCGGGGCCUGCCUGGUGGGGAAGUUUAGACGCACCUAGACAGCUGCCCGCGUUGGCCAGCUGAAAAUUUGUCAGAGAAGAAAGGCAUUAAGCCUGUCACAGCAGAUAAAGAUCAGAUGCUUCAUUUCAAACAGAAGCAGCAAACACUCCACGGUGGACUCCAUUAACUGCGAGCACGCCACUCAGACAGACGCGAGGACCGAGACCAGGGCCAGAGGGGGGCACGUAAACCCAAAUUCCACCACCGUGUUUGUAGCGACGGAGGAUACUGGACCUGGGACACAUACAACAAAUACAAAUAAAUUCCAACCCUUCCCCGUGUCCCUUCUUUGUUUCCUUUUAUUAAGAGCGUGAUUUCACCAAACUAAUACAUCUAGCAUAUUUUGUCUGAAAAACAAAUUAGAUUAUAUUCAACUAUUUACAUGCAACUAAAGGCUUGAGAAGAUGGUUCUGGAAAAAAUAUCUGAUGUAAAAACUUAAGCCAUCUCACGAUACCUAGGUGUCCUUAGAAAAGCCAGCUCCAUGUGGGUGCAUUUCAGAAGCCUCCUGGUUAGUCUGCAGUUUUUACUCAUUAAAA
Non-coding RNA from Vicugna pacos (alpaca), 912 nucleotides. Lineage: Eukaryota; Metazoa; Chordata; Mammalia; Artiodactyla; Camelidae. The record is from RefSeq and is a predicted model, not a curated record.